UACGGAGGGGGCUAGCGUUGUUCGGAAUUACUGGGCGUAAAGGGUUCGUAGGUGGCCAACUAAGUCAGACGUGAAAUCCCUCGGCUCAACCGGGGAACUGCGUCUGAUACUGGUUGGCUUGAGUGCAGGAGAGGAACGCGGAAUUCCAGGUGUAGCGGUGAAAUGCGUAGAUAUCUGGAGGAAUACCGGUGGCGAAGGCGGCAUCCUGGACCGGAAUUGACACUGAGGAGCGAAAGCCAGGGGAGCAAACGGG
RNAcentral lists this ribosomal RNA (253 nucleotides) under uncultured bacterium. Its description in RNAcentral is "partial 16S ribosomal RNA". It matches the Rfam family "Bacterial small subunit ribosomal RNA", at positions 524 to 776 of the family's 1533-position model. The record is from RNAcentral.